GAACGGGAAAACGGGGGCAACCCUGUGAGUACAGUGGCGUACGGGUGAGUAACACGUGACUACCUACCCUCGAGUGGGGGAUAACCCCGGGAAACCGGGGCUAAUACCGCAUAACAUCGCAAGAUCAAAGGAGUAAUCCGCUUGAGGAGGGGGUCGCGGCUGAUUAGCUAGUUGGUGAGGUAAUGGCUCACCAAGGCGAUGAUCGGUAGCCGGCCUGAGAGGGCGCACGGCCACACUGGAACUGAAACACGGUCCAGACUCCUACGGGAGGCAGCAGUGGGGAAUUUUGCGCAAUGGGGGAAACCCUGACGCAGCAACGCCGCGUGGAGGAUGAAGUCCCUUGGGACGUAAACUCCUUUCGACCCGGACGAUAAUGACGGUACGGGUGGAAGAAGCACCGGCUAACUUCGUG
RNAcentral lists this ribosomal RNA (412 nucleotides) under uncultured bacterium. RNAcentral's name for it is "bacterial SSU rRNA". It matches the Rfam family "Bacterial small subunit ribosomal RNA", at positions 64 to 507 of the family's 1533-position model. The record is from RNAcentral.